GACAUAGGUGGCGAACGUUAUCCGGAAUUAUUGGGCGUAAAGAGCGUGUAGGCGGCCAGGUAGGUGGGUUGUGAAAACUGGAGACUCAACCUUCAGACGUCGACCCAAACCCCCUGGCUAGAGUCCGGAAGAGGAGAGUGGAAUUCCUGGUGUAGCGGUGAAAUGCGCAGAUAUCAGGAAGAACACCCGUGGCGAAGGCGGCUCUCUGGGACGGUACUGACGCUGAGACGCGAAAGCGUGGGGAGCGAACAGG
This 253-nucleotide ribosomal RNA is filed under the name uncultured bacterium. RNAcentral describes it as "partial 16S ribosomal RNA". It matches the Rfam family "Bacterial small subunit ribosomal RNA", at positions 524 to 776 of the family's 1533-position model. The record is from RNAcentral.